GACGAACGCUGGCGGCGUGCUUAACACAUGCAAGUCGAACGGAAAGGCCCUGCUUUUGUGGGGUGCUCGAGUGGCGAACGGGUGAGUAACACGUGAGUAACCUGCCCUUGACUUUGGGAUAACUUCAGGAAACUGGGGCUAAUACCGGAUAGGAGCUCCUGCUGCAUGGUGGGGGUUGGAAAGUUUCGGCGGUUGGGGAUGGACUCGCGGCUUAUCAGCUUGUUGGUGGGGUAGUGGCUUACCAAGGCUUUGACGGGUAGCCGGCCUGAGAGGGUGACCGGCCACAUUGGGACUGAGAUACGGCCCAGACUCCUACGGGAGGCAGCAGAGGGGAAUAUUGCACAAUGGGCGGAAGCCUGAUGCAGCAACGCCGCGUGCGGGAUGACGGCCUUCGGGUUGUAAACCGCUUUCGCCUGUGACGAAGCGUGAGUGACGGUAAUGGGUAAAGAAGCACCGGCUAACUACGUGCCAGCAGCCGCGGUGAUACGUAGGGUGCGAGCGUUGUCCGGAUUUAUUGGGCGUAAAGGGCUCGUAGGUGGUUGAUCGCGUCGGAAGUGUAAUCUUGGGGCUUAACCCUGAGCGUGCUUUCGAUACGGGUUGACUUGAGGAAGGUAGGGGAGAAUGGAAUUCCUGGUGGAGCGGUGGAAUGCGCAGAUAUCAGGAGGAACACCAGUGGCGAAGGCGGUUCUCUGGGCCUUUCCUGACGCUGAGGAGCGAAAGCGUGGGGAGCGAACAGGCUUAGAUACCCUGGUAGUCCACGCUGUAAACGGUGGGUACUAGGUGUGGGGUCCAUUCCACGGGUUCCGUGCCGUAGCUAACGCUUUAAGUACCCCGCCUGGGGAGUACGGCCGCAAGGCUAAAACUCAAAGGAAUUGACGGGGCCCCGCACAAGCGGCGGAGCAUGCGGAUUAAUUCGAUGCAACGCGUAGAACCUUACCUGGGUUUGACAUGGAUCGGGAGUGCUCAGAGAUGGGUGUGCCUCUUUUGGGGUCGGUUCACAGGUGGUGCAUGCCUGUCGUCAGCUCGUGUCGUGAGAUGUUGGGUUAAGUCCCGCAACGAGCGCAACCCUUGUUCACUGUUGCCAGCACGUUAUGGUGGGGACUCAGUGGAGACCGCCGGGGUCAACUCGGAGGAAGGUGGGGAUGACGUCAAGUCCUCAUGCCCCUUAUGUCCAGGGCUUCACGCAUGCUACAAUGGCUGGUACAGAGAGUGGCGAGCCUGUGAGGGUGAGCGAAUCUCGGAAAGCCGGUCUCAGUUCGGAUUGGGGUCUGCAACUCGACCUCAUGAAGUCGGAGUCGCUAGUAAUCGCAGAUCAGCAACGCUGCGGUGAAUACGUUCCCGGG
Molecule: ribosomal RNA, 1343 nt
Filed under: uncultured bacterium
Lineage: Bacteria
Description: 16S ribosomal RNA
Rfam family: Bacterial small subunit ribosomal RNA
Source: RNAcentral